Molecule: ribosomal RNA, 256 nt
Filed under: uncultured bacterium
Lineage: Bacteria
Description: partial 16S ribosomal RNA
Rfam family: Bacterial small subunit ribosomal RNA
Source: RNAcentral
UACGGAGGGCGCAAGCGUUACUCGGAAUCACUGGGCGUAAAGAGCGUGUAGGCGGAUAGAUAAGUUAGGAGUGAAAUCCUAUGGCUCAACCAUAGAACUGCUUCUAAAACUGUCUAUCUAGAGUAUGGGAGAGGUAGAUGGAAAUUUUCUGGUGUAGGGGGUAAAAUCCGUAGAGAUCAGAAGGAAUACCGAUUGCGAAGGCGAUCUACUGGAACAUAACUGACGCUGAGACGCGAAAGCGUGGGGAGCAAACAGG